Molecule: long non-coding RNA, 1314 nt
Filed under: Triticum aestivum (bread wheat)
Lineage: Eukaryota; Viridiplantae; Streptophyta; Magnoliopsida; Poales; Poaceae
Description: long non-coding RNA (TAES_LNC006602)
Source: RNAcentral
AACUUGCAACAACACAUUGAAUAUAUUUCAGGGAAGUAAUUUCAUAUUCCCCAAUACACAUCUCACUUAAAUAACAAAUGCCAGAUAAGAGAAACAACAGUUUCAUAUAUUUCAGAGAAGUAAUUUCAUAUAUUUUCGCAGAAAUUAGUUUCACAACUUGCAACACCACAUUGAAAUAUAUUCCAGGGAAGUAAUUUCUCAAUACAUAUAUCACUGAAAUAAGAAAUGACAGAUAAGAGAAAUAGUUGUUUCAUAUAUUUCAGGGAUCUAAUUCCAUAUAUUUUCACAGAAAUUAGUUUUGCAACUUGCAACAACACAUUGAAAUCCCAGUUUCACAUUUUUUUCACAUCACAACUACACAUAGCUAUUUCAAUUCAUAUCUCACUGAAAAUCAUUCCAAUCUCACUGAAAAUCAUUCCAAAUCUCACUGAAAAUCAUUCAAAUCUCACUUCGACAUACUGAAGUAAUCCAGUUUGACCAGAUUGAAAUAUAAAUUUCACAUUGUGCCACAAACCAUUUCACAUUACUUUGUUUCACAACUAGCAACACCGCAUUCAAAUAUAUUACAGGGAAGUAAUUUCAUAGAUUUUGGUCUCUUUCAAAAAACUACAACACAUGCUCUCUGUCACAAACAUUCAAAAAUCCUGAAAUUGAAGUAACAGAGGAGGCCGGCGAUCUGGUGGUAAAGAAACAUAGAGUGUUCAAAUCAUGCUAAAUAAAUCGGAAAUCGUGAAAUACAUAUGGAAAGAGCUUAGGGGAGAUGGUCAUUACUCACCAGAUCCGGUGGUAGUCAGGCUUGGUGUCGCCAGAUCCGGCGACAACCUUGCGUGAUGACCCGUCAUGGUGCCCGUGCUGAACGGAGACACCAACGGCGCCCACGGCUGCCGGGGCAGCCAGGAUGCCGGUGGACGGGCUUCUGGUUGGCGGGAUCGAGGAACCUCGCCGGAUCAGCCACCCCCCGACGGCCAGUGGAUCCGCCCCCCGCUCCUCGUCGGCCUCAUGGUACCGCCGCGCCGCCGCGGGCCUUCUAUGUGCCCCCCGUGGUAGGUGCCGGUAGUGGAACCCGAAUCCGGUGUCGGAUGUUGCUGGAGAAGGCGGAUCUCGCGGCGGCCAUAGCCGGGAUUAACCACCGAGCCCCAUGGAACGAACUGACGAGAGAUGGGGUGGGGAGAAAGGAGAUCGAUGUGGGAAGGAGACAGCGGCGUGGGGUUGAUAUCCUCUCUUUCGUGGGGUCCAUCACGUAUGUGCAGUUGUAUACAGCUUGUAUCCUGGAAUCUGAGGUGGAAAUAAAAAAAACUAGUAGGGUCCACCUGC